CCUUCAACGCUAUCAUGAUAUGUUAUUACUUGUUUCAUAUUAAUGGCAGAAGCAUGAUUGAUGAGUUUUUAAAUUUUUUUCUGAUUUUUUUGUAUCUUUCGAUUUUUUUUUCAAAAUUUUAAGAAAUCAUAAAAAAUAUUAUAAUUUAUGAUAAAAUUUGCAAUUUGAUAUGAUUUAACCCUUGCUAUGAUUUGCAAUGCAAUAAUGAUUUUGACGACAUCGGGGGCCAAGAUGAUUACAUAAAAAAUCUUAUAAUUUGUGAUAAUUUGCAAUUCGAUAUGAUUCAACCCCUGCUACGAUUUGCAAUGUGAUAAUGAUUUUGACGACAUUGGGGGCUAAGAUGAUUACAUAAAAAAUCUUAUAUUUUAUGAUAAAAUUUGCAAUUUGAUAUGAUUCAACCCUUGCUACGGUUUGCAAUGUGAUAAUGAUUUUGACAACAUUGGUUGCGUUGUCUGUGGAUUGGGGGCCAAGAUGAUUACAUAAAUAUGAAAGGGAAGUUUUAGCACAUUAUAAACUCCAUCCUUUUCAACUCUCCCCAGCAAUCCGUUUUCUUAUCAGUAGGGAUACUUUGCAUAACACGAUAAUGAUGAAUGAGUUGAUGCCCUUGUGCUAGAUACGGUCACUUUGUAGUGAGGCUCAUCCAUGUGCCCAUAUCCAAAAUCCAAUGGUCAAGCAUCUUGGUAAGAUCUACACCAUUGUUCUGUGUAGGUUGGUGUGGAAUGGAUGAAUGGGUUGGAAAACAGAUAGGUGUGGAGGCUUGGAGAAGAUGUUGUUGCCGAUGAGUCAAAACACUAUCCCUCUCACAUCUAUAUAUUGUCAUGGUACCGAUCCACAUACAACAUGGUAAGUCUGUUUCAUCACAAGGGGAGAAAGAUCUUUGGACGACAUGGGGUGGCAACUAAUUGGUGGUUAUCACAUUACAUAGUUUUCCUAUUGGACUGAAAAUGGAUGUGUGGACACUUGUUGAGGAUAGAGUUUGCGAUAGAUUGGAACUUUAGACCUUUCACAUCUAUAUAGAAUCAAUAUUCUUGGUUCACAAUCUACACACAUCUGUUCCUCUCUCUUGGUUGUCAUUCGUAUGUGAAGGAGAGGAAGAUCUGAGUGUCUGUUGGAAAUAGAAAAAAAGGUAGAUCGAUUUUCAAGCUUCGAAUAAUGAUAAUGACCACCAAUAUGGGUAUGCGUUUAGUUUUCCGAAUCCAUGCUUUGAUGCACUACAUCCUAGGAUCACGGUGUUGCCAUAUAAACACAGUUUUUCAUUAUCUGGGUGCGCUUAAAGUGGUUUCAUUUGGUUGGUUAGGUACUAACUAGAAAAUGUUACUGCCAUGGUGUGCCAUAACGGCCCUUACGUAAAGUUAACUUUGUAACUGUUACAGGUUAGGGUUUGUAAUGGCCGUAGUGGCUUUUAUGGAGAAAAAAAAUGACCUGUAAUGGCCAUUACAGCCCCCGUAAUGGCCUUGUUACACCCCCGUAAAGGCUGUAAUGGCCUAUUACGUGGCUGAUACAGAUUUUUCAGGGUUUUUUCAAUAAAAUGAAACAGAGCCUGUAACAGCCACUACAUUCCAUAUCGUGAAGGUAACGGUGGUGGCUAUUACGGCCACUGCUACUAUUAUGGAAUACCUUGGCUACUAUUGAUCACAACUGCUUGCAUUUUGUCUUAAUGGUGCAAGGACCGUGGACUAGUUCAGCCACUGUGUAUUUGUUGCUGAAAUUAGGAGUAUUUUGGCUGUGGUCACAUUUGUUUGGUUAGUUGCUAACUAUAAGUUAACUAUUGAUCAUUUGUAUAGUAGGGUGAUGAUGGUCACGAAAUUUGCUCCGUGUUGUAAAGAUGAAGAAACUGUGGACAACUUGUUUGUCUGUUGUGAAUUUGUGGCAAAAUCUGGUGGAAUAUUGUGGCUAUGUUUCAUUUGCAACGGUCCAUUCCGAGAUCGUUUAAAGCUCCAGUGCAAGCCUGGAACUGGGGAGACAGGGUAGGAGAAUGAUAGCUGUAGCAUCUCUGCUUGCUCAUAGUUAUAUGGACUGCAUGGAAGGAACGUGACAAUAGGAGAGUAAUUAAGAAUUGUAAAUGGGAAGUCUGGUUAGACAUUCUUCGGUGGACCUGUGACCUCAGAAGCUUGAGACUAGGGAUCUUCUCUUAGUUGAGAGUUGUCUUCUUUGAUGUUUUGAGGGGGAUGCAGAUGAGAUUGCAUGAUUCUCUCGUGAAAGAGGGAGUGAUGAGAGGGUCACUAUCAGCAUCUCAUUCUUGCUUCGCAAGCAUUUUAUCAUUAGUAAUCUUCCCAAAAAGAUUGAAAAGAAAAAGGAAAAAAAAAGGAAUGAUGAGAGAGUCACUAUCGGCAUCUCAUUCCCCCGUUGUUAACAUUACUGGUAUAAAAGUAAAAUAAAUCCCAAUAAAAAACAAGGAUCUAAUAUUCUUGAAAGCUAAGGGCUUUUUUGGCAUCUCACUCUUGCUUUGUUAACCUCACUCAUUUGGAUGGGACUUACCAGUCCCAUGGGAGUUGCAAUCAUGGGAGUGGUCAAAUCUGGAUUGGUGACUCUUGCAUUGCCCAAUCUUUUGUUUGGUUGACAUGCUGGAUUUGCCAAUCUAGUAUUGAUCACUACAAGGAUCCGAAUGGGAGAGGGAAGACCGAGAUGGCAAGUGUGCAGAUUUUCUCUAUCUGGACAUGUUACCUUUUUGGAGGGGAGUUUUCAAUCUGUAUUUAAGUGGAUUUAGUGGCACAUGGAUCCCUUUUGAAGGGGAGUUUUCAAUCUGUACUUAAAGUGGAUUUAGUGGCACAUGGGCAAUUCAUGAGCUUUGUCAAUCCCCGGAGGGAUCAAAUUGGGAACAAAUGUCCUGGUUAGCCACCAAAUCCAGGAUAGACCAUGCUAGGAUUCUAAUGGGCCUUUGAUCAUGCUAUUUACAGGAUUUUAGUUUGCUGACCACAAAUCAUAUACUUUGAGAACACCUUGAAAGGGACUUAUUUUCUCCUUUUGGGAGACUUUUGACACUUUUAGAAUGCUACUGCUGCUCUCUACGAAACAAAAGAAUCUCUGAAUCCCCUUUUCUAAGCCCAGUUUAACAUCAUGAACAAAAAUAUUUGGAAAUGUAACUACACAUGCCUGAUCAAAUUUCCUUUUUUUGCACCUAUUUUUUUCUCUAUAUUAUUGUGAUCCAUGCUUUUUUUGUAGGAGAAAUUCAUGCUUUAAUAAAGCACUUUGAUUGUGAUUAUGUAAUGUUAUGCCUAUGCCAAUUGAAUGGUUUUUUUU
Molecule: long non-coding RNA, 3240 nt
Organism: Magnolia sinica
Lineage: Eukaryota; Viridiplantae; Streptophyta; Magnoliopsida; Magnoliales; Magnoliaceae
Exons: 2
Source: RefSeq, a predicted model, not a curated record